GGUUGAUGAUGAGGAGACGGGGAUGCUCCUUGAGGAUCGGCUCAAGGACGGGGAGCCGCACAAGAAUGAUGCUCAGGCAUGAUUGGAUCUGCAGUAAUUAUACUUGACGGCGAGAAAGAACUUGAAGAGGAGGAUAAUUUUAUCGAGAACUUUAGUUUCUUCCGAGAACUUUAAUUUCUUACUUUAUGCCUGGCUUUAGAUUCCGAUACCAUUAGUGUUACUUUGUAUGCUAUCUUAAUUCCCAGUUUAAAUCAUUUUCUGCCUUUAUGUAGGAGCUUUC
This 280-nucleotide unclassified non-coding RNA is filed under the name Hevea brasiliensis (rubber tree). Lineage: Eukaryota; Viridiplantae; Streptophyta; Magnoliopsida; Malpighiales; Euphorbiaceae. The record is from RNAcentral.